AGUGAACGCUGGCGGUGGGCCUAACACAUGCAAGUCGAACGGCAGCACAGUAAGAGCUUGCCCCUACGGGUGGCGAGUGGCGGACGGGUGAGGAAUACAUCGGCAUCUUCUUUUUCGUGGGGGAUAACGUAGGGACACUUCCGCUAAUACCUCAUACGACCUACGGGUGAAAUCAGGGGAUCUUCGGACCUUGCGCGAUUGUAUGAGCCGAUGUCGGAUUAGCUAGUUGGCGGGGUAAAGGCACACCAAGGCGACGAUCCGUAGCUGGUCUGAGAGGAUGAUCAGCCACACUGGAACUGAGACACGGUCCAGACUCCUACGGGAGGCAGCAGUGGGGAAUAUUGGACAAUGGGCGCAAGCCUGAUCCAGCCAUACCGCGUGGGUGAAGAAGGCCUUCGGGUUGUAAAGCCCUUUUGUUGGGAAAGAAAAGCAGCAGGUGAAUACCCCGCUGUUCUGACGGUACCCAAAGAAUAAGCACCGGCUAACUUCGUG
Molecule: ribosomal RNA, 492 nt
Filed under: uncultured bacterium
Lineage: Bacteria
Description: partial 16S ribosomal RNA
Rfam family: Bacterial small subunit ribosomal RNA
Source: RNAcentral